GUUGCUAUACGUGGACAGAAUUGAUGGAUUUUGAUUGUAGAGCUUGGAGUUAGCUUGAUUUCUGGAUUUGGAGGACUUCGGUCGAUCCAGCAGGUUGUUCCGCAGCUGAGGGGGUUCUUUGCUGCCAGGGAUUAACUCUCGAGGUAGGUUACAUCGGUUUAUUCCUAAGCACAGUAUUAGUCGACAUGUAUGAUUUUCAGUUUUUAUAAAUCAUGUUGUAGCUCAUUUUCGUUGAUUGUAUCAUGGAUAAAAUCAGCAUGGAGGACAUGAUUAGUAAACCAGAAAUAUACAUGUUGGACUUAGAAAUUGACUUAGGAGAAAACCAGCGAUUUGGACCUGUCACUUGUUUACACUACCUGAUUUAGCUUUAGAAGCCGUUGUACUUUUGUAUUGUCGCAGUAUCGAGGCGACGGAUACCCCAGGUAGUUUAGCUCUCUGUUACGCUCGUGCUGGGAUGCCGAGUGUAUUUUUUUCAGUAGCGUUCAGGCUGUUCCGGACUGUUGGAUGCCGUCGGGGGUGACGAUGGACCCAUAUCGCCUUUUUGGCGUUAGAUUGUGCCGAGGGCACGUGACUGUUGGUUGUUAGACCAGUUAGUAUCGGUUACUUGGACUUUGGCUUGAGAGAGCCUAUUGAGCUCGACAGAGAUACGCUGCAUACUCGGUUGGGUAGCUCUCCCGAGUGCCACUCCGGAGAUGGGCACUGUGCUUUCGCGUUGGUGUCGUGCAUGCCGGUUUGACUUGCUCCCCUCGGACUGGUUAGUGUGGAGGUAGCUGGAUAGUCUCAACUGGGCGGGACGGGUGUGUUCACAGUCCCUGGGGCGGAUAUGUUUACAGUCCCUAAAGAAAUUUGGUCGGAAUUCACAUUACUACAAUAGGUCAGAGUAGAGCAUAAUAGUGUAAUAAAUGAUAGCUGUAGAUUUUAUUCCAGCAUUUACUGCUACUUUUGUUCCCUUCUGUAGACUUAGUGGGUGGACCGAUGUUGUUGAGGGCGGCACCCACUGAGGACUACUUGUUUUUACAGUAGUUCUCACGCCCUGUUGUUACCCCGUUUUUGCAGAGCCAUCGUCUUCGGCUGCUGCUGUUGCUGAUCAGGAUCGAGGCAAGGGCGUCGCGAGUUAGAACCCUACCCGUCGUGCCGAGCUAGAGGUGCCCUACAGCAGGUAGUUGUUUUGGCUGGAGUUCAUGUACAUACAGCUUUUAACUCGCCAGCGCGAGUAAAUUUUUGUACCGUGGUUCUGAUGUAUGUAUAUGGAAUUCAGUUUAUUUUUUUUUACUGAUUCUUCUAGCAACUCUAUACUACUGUUUGUAGUAUUGUAUGUUUUACAGGUACAGCUAUCGCUUCAUAUACAAAAAAAAUUUCUUUGUAUACGACGGAUUUGUCGGCGUGCCCGGGGAACGUGUAAUCCGGGGCACGACAUUACGAAUAAAAUUUUAGUUUUUUUCGAUAUCGUUUACUUAGUAAAUAAAUUAUGUCAAAAUGGACGGUGGAAAUUGAAUAUUCUUUAAAAUUUGAGCAUAGGACUUUUAAAUUCAAGAUCAAGAAUGUUGAAGUUUAAAAUUUAAAUUUAAAUUUAAAAAUUAAAAAUUUUAAACUUAAAUUUAAAAAUUUAAAUGAUAACAACGGAAAUAUAGAAAUAUAUUUUUAUAUACUUUUAUCUAAAUUUUAGUAAAUAAUAAUGAACAGUCUAUUUAAAAUAUUUUAAAAAUUACAUAAAUUUAUCGCCGCGAAGCGUGGGCCUGCACAAGUGUAAAAAAUAGAAUGGUUCCGUAUAAGAGAGGUUAAUACUACAGACGUGGAAUAGGAUUUUGAAAGAAGAAAAGGGGGAGAGAGGAAGAAAGGAAUAGGUGGUAAAUUUGUUUUCAAAACAUUUUUAAAAUUUUUGCAAAUGGAAAAUCCCUUUCUUUCACUCACGCGUUUUUACUCUUACCAUCUCUCCACUCGAUCUCUCACGCUUUUUUCCUCCCCCCAUCUACUCUCUCUCUCUCUCUUAGGGAGACGACGAGGACUAGGAGGUGAGGCCGCGGACCGCGA
Molecule: long non-coding RNA, 2031 nt
Filed under: Ananas comosus (pineapple)
Lineage: Eukaryota; Viridiplantae; Streptophyta; Magnoliopsida; Poales; Bromeliaceae
Description: long non-coding RNA (ACOM_LNC019411)
Source: RNAcentral